CCUACGGGAGGCAGCAGUGAGGAAUAUUGGUCAAUGGCCGGAAGGCUGAACCAGCCAUGCCGCGUGAAGGUCAGUGCCCUAUGGGCGUUAAACUUCUUUUGUGCGGGAGCAAUAAUGGUCACGUGUGGCCAGACGAGAGUACCGUACGAAUAAGCAUCGGCUAACUCCGUGCCAGCAGCCGCGGUAAUACGGGGGAUGCAAGCGUUAUCCGGAUUUAUUGGGUUUAAAGGGUGCGUAGGCUGUGAGGUAAGUCAGCGGUGAAAUGCCCCCGCUCAACGGGGUGAAGUGCCAUUGAUACUGCCUGGCUGGAAUGCGGAUGCCGUGGGAGGAAUGUGUGGUGUAGCGGUGAAAUGCAUAGAUGUCACACAGAACACCGAUUGCGAAGGCAUCUCACGAAGCCGCGAUUGACGCUGAUGCACGAAAGCGUGGGUAUCAAACAGGAUUAGAUACCCGAGUAGUC
Molecule: ribosomal RNA, 460 nt
Filed under: uncultured bacterium
Lineage: Bacteria
Description: partial 16S ribosomal RNA
Rfam family: Bacterial small subunit ribosomal RNA
Source: RNAcentral